GGCCUGCCCACUGAAAGAAUUAAAGGGCCGCGGUAUUUUGACCGUGCAAAGGUAGCAUAAUUGUUAGGUUUUUAAUUGAGAUCUUGUAUGAAAGGUUCGACAAGGAAUAAGCUGUCUUUAUAUUUAUAAUUGAAUUUAACUUUUAAGUGAAAAGGCUUAAAUGUGUUGAAAAGACGAUAAGACCCUAUAAAACUUUAUAUUAAGCCUAAUUUAAUUGAAUUUUUGAGAAUAAAAUUUUGAUAAGGUAAGAUAUUAUAUUGGGGCGAUAAAAAUAAAAUUUUAAAUAACUGUUAAGGUUUAAAUACACAUAUAGGUGGUUAAAAUUAAUUGAUCCUAGUUAGAGAUUAAAAGUUUAAGUUACUUUAGGGAUAACAGCGUUAUUUUUUUUGAGAGUUCUUAUCGAAAAAAAAGUUUGCGACCUCGAUGUUGAAUUAAAGUGCCUAUAUAAUUGUAGAUGUUAUAAUAGGAGGUCUGUUCGACCUUUAAAUCUUUA
Molecule: ribosomal RNA, 493 nt
Filed under: Dotilla myctiroides
Lineage: Eukaryota; Metazoa; Arthropoda; Malacostraca; Decapoda; Dotillidae
Description: partial large subunit ribosomal RNA
Rfam family: Bacterial large subunit ribosomal RNA
Source: RNAcentral